This 301-nucleotide ribosomal RNA is filed under the name uncultured bacterium. Its description in RNAcentral is "partial 16S ribosomal RNA". It matches the Rfam family "Bacterial small subunit ribosomal RNA", at positions 509 to 808 of the family's 1533-position model. The record is from RNAcentral.
CAGUAGCCGCGGUAAUACGUAGGUGGCAAGCGUUGUCCGGAAUUAUUGGGCGUAAAGCGCGCGCAGGCGGAUCAGUCAGUCUGUCUUAAAAGUUCGGGGCUUAACCCCGUGAUGGGAUGGAAACUGCUGAUCUAGAGUAUCUGAGAGGAAAGUGGAAUUCCUAGUGUAGCGGUGAAAUGCGUAGAUAUUAGGAAGAACACCAGUGGCGAAGGCGACUUUCUGGACGAAAACUGACGCUGAGGCGCGAAAGCCAGGGGAGCGAACGGGAUUAGAUACCCCCGUAGUCCCUGUCUCUUAUACC